This 500-nucleotide ribosomal RNA is filed under the name uncultured bacterium. RNAcentral describes it as "partial 16S ribosomal RNA". It matches the Rfam family "Bacterial small subunit ribosomal RNA", at positions 30 to 523 of the family's 1533-position model. The record is from RNAcentral.
AUUGAACGCUGGCGGCAUGCCUUACACAUGCAAGUCGAACGGCAGCACGGGAGCAAUCCUGGUGGCGAGUGGCGAACGGGUGAGUAAAGUAUCGGAACGUGCCCAGUCGUGGGGGAUAACGUAGCGAAAGUUACGCUAAUACCGCAUACGAUCUAUGGAUGAAAGCGGGGGAUCGCAAGACCUCGCGCGAUUGGAGCGGCCGAUAUCAGAUUAGGUAGUUGGUGGGGUAAAGGCUCACCAAGCCGACGAUCUGUAGCUGGUCUGAGAGGACGACCAGCCACACUGGGACUGAGACACGGCCCAGACUCCUACGGGAGGCAGCAGUGCGGAAUUGUGGACAAUGGGCGAAAGCCUGAUCCAGCCAUGCCGCGUGCAGGAUGAAGGCCUUCGGGUUGUAAACUGCUUUUGUACGGAACGAAAAGGUUUGGCCUAAUAAGCUGAGCUCAUGACGGUACCGUAAGAAUAAGCACCGGCUAACUACGUGCCAGCCGCCGCGGUAA